GAUUCAAACCUACAGCCACAGCAGCUCUAACCUCCCCACCCUGCCUCCUGGCCCCCUCAGCAACGGGCUGCUCUUGCUCCUAUUGGCCGGGGCGGGGCGACAUCGCGCUGCCAUUGGUCAAAACCGGGAGAAGGGGCGGGUGGGGGCUGGGGGUAUCCAGCGCAGGGAGGCGGCCGCCAUUUUGUAGGGGUGGCGAAGGCCGCGAGCGCAGCAGCAGCAGCAGCAGCAGCGGCGGAGCCGAGGCCCGGGCUGCGCUUUGAGGGGCUCGCGAGCGUGGGCGUUGCCGGCGGAGAGGCAGCGAGGGUGGGGAAUCGGAUUCCCGGAGGCUGGGGGUGUGGGAGCGAGCGAGACGGACAGAAGUCGCUUAGACUUCUCCUCUGGAGCCUGUGCGCCGAGAAUCCGAUGUUGGGCUCGGCUUCCUGGCUGAACACAGCAGAUCAGCCCAUGAAAACUUCUAUUCCGAGCCAAAGGAAGGGGUCCAAUAGAAGACAGCACCUACUCUUUUGGGCUUGGCAGCAGGAAAGGGAACGGGAGGUGGAGGCUGCAGAGUCUGAAAAGAAGACUGAAAGGUGACAUUUAAGUUGAAGAUGGGUGGUGGAGAAAGGUUCAGCAUUCAAGUUCCCCAGUCUAGAAAUAUUACCAAGAAGAAUAAACAACUUAAUAACAGGCAAAAGAGCAAAGAUCAGAAUUCUCAAAUGAAGAUGACUUAUAUGAAGAAAGAAAGAGGACAUGGAUGUAGCUCAUCAUCUAUUGCAUGGCAGGCCAUGCAAAAUGGGGGCAAGAACACUGUGCACUUCCCAAAUAAUCAGAAUUGGAGUCCUACUUUAUCAAGUCCCAACUCACUUUUCACAUCUCAAACCAAUCAGAACUAUGCUGGAGCAAAAUUUAGUGAGCCACCUUCACCAAGUGUUCUUCCUAAGCCACCAAGCCACUGGGUACCCGUUUCCUUUAAUCCUUCUGAUAAAGAAAUAAUGACCUUUCAACUUAAAACCUUACUUAAAGUCCAGGCUUGAGAUGUAACUUUAAAAAUUGAAAAGUUUAAAUUUUUACAGGGUUUCAAAUUUGAGAAUGUUAGUUAAAUUUGUAGUUCCAGAAUGCACAAUUUUUUAUGGAAUCAUAUUUGUUAGCUGCAUACAAAAAUUGAGUCACAUGAUGUGGGGACAUCUCUUGAAGAUGUCCAACUUAACUCUUCAUCUCACUCAGGGUUUUGUGUGUUGUGUGCACGUACUGUGACAAACUAUGUACUUGCAAUAUCAGUAUGCAAUCUAAACAAAGUUUGGUGGUCAGUAAUGCUAAUGUAUUGUUGUCAGAAUUUGAACUGUGACCACUUAAAAUAUGCUGAGUUUUUCACUGGAAAUGAAAGUUAUGGGAGAAAACCAACUUUACAUUAUGUAAUGCAGCUUUGAUUGGAAAAAGUAAGCAGUUUACAGAACUACUCAAACCUUAAACUAGUAUCUUUCAUACUUGUUUCAGAUCAGUUAAUUGUGUGAAACCAGUUGAAAGAAAAUUAAGAGAUUAUUUUUUUGCAAAACAAAUCUACAUCUAGCCACUAGGAGAUAAUGUUUUUUGAAUUAUAUUAGUGAACCUUUAUUUGGAGUUCAUGAAUCAGUGAUUGACAGGGCAGACAAACCUGUGACUAAAAUUAAGAUGAUCUUAAGAAAUUUACUCCCCAGAGAUUGUUUUGUAAGGAUGCAAAAAAUAAUUUGAUAAAAUUGCCUGACAGUGUUCAUUUCAAAAAUCUAGAAAUGCAUUUUUAUUUUGAACCUGCACAAUCUCUGAAAUGUGCCAACUAACAAGCAUUUUGCACUGCCAGGUGACUGCCAAAAAACUUCUAAAACCUUUUCUUUAUUGGGAUUGCACUGAGCAGUUUUUAAAAUGCAUUUUUAUAUCCAUUUUAUAUCUUUGAAAAAGCUGAAAUGAUAGAAUUGUUUUGGCUAAUCUUAAAUUGGAUACCCUGUAAUGUGAAUUUGUUUAAACUAGUGUUGCUUGUGGGAAGUAUGAAACGUUUAAAUAGGUUGGGAAAAGAGCCAUGUAAAUAAAUGUAAAACUUUGUAGCAUAUGUAAAUUUAUGCUGGGCUUUCCUGCAGAAAAAGUAUUUUUAGUACAAAACUGCUGAAUGUAAGAUGACCAUGCUGAGUACAUGGCCUGAUUUUAAAAAAAAAAAUAUUUUGUUUAAAGAAACUGUAAAAGCACACGUGGCUAUGCCCUUGCACUUAAGUACGAGUGAACGUUCACGUUUGAUUUUGUUGUAAGCUGGUUUUUUAAGUAAAUUCAGUGCAAAUGAGGCUUUUAGAAUUUUUAAUAAAACAAAAAAAAACUGGAAAAAAAGCUACACCAAUCUGUGUAAGAUGCAUCUGUUUUGAAUGUAUAAAAGUGACUUUAGUUGGGAUGAACUAUUAUAGUACACUAAAAAAGUUCUAAAAAUCUAUUAAUGUAAAAGUCUCUCAGUAGAAAUCUUUAUAUAAAUACUUAAGAGCUAGAGCCCUGCCUACAAUUUAAAAAAGUAUUCUAGCUGGUUUUAUCCAGCAUUUUUGUAUUUGAGAGCACAGUAACUCCAUUGAUGCUGUAAUGAAGAUUAAGCCAUCCACACAUGGCUUUUAUUAUUUGGAAUUUAGAUGUCCCUCCCCUUAAAGAACCACUGAAGUGCUGUUCUAUUUAAAAAUAUAUAAAACCCUAUUAAGUCUUCCUUCUGAAUUCCCAGUAUGCUGGUUGUCAGCAUAUUAGUGUUUAGUAAAAGCUGUUUGUAAUAGAAUACCCAAUGCUUGAUUUUAUUCAGUGAUGCCAUAAUCCACUGUUUACAAAAGCACAGAUGCUUCCAUGGUGGAAGCGAGAAACUGAUUUGUGACAUGCUGAAAGAACAGGAAGAAAGUUGUUUAAACACAGUAAUCAGCAAUAAUGAAGAAUGAGUAAAUAGGGUAAUGAUUACAAAAAGUAGUUUGCUAAAACAAAAUUGGUUCUUUAAGUGCUCAAGAUGCACUUCUGUGCAUAUAGUUCUGUUUAUACAUUCAAAAUGUGCUGGCAGCUAUCUAUGUUUACACAUGUUCUCUCCAAAUAAGAUGAAUCGAUUGGCAGUUUCCUAAAAUUAUUACAUUCCUGUCUCCCAAACUCUCACCCAAUGUCAUCCAUUGUACCCAAAGUGUAAUUGUUAUAUUUGAAAUUUAAAGUGUUUAUGAAGUACUACUUGUACGUGUAUCAAUUGGAAGCUUCAAAAAACAAAACAAAACCCAAAACAAAUAAACUACCUAGCCUUUUCUCCCCUUAAACAUGUUUGUUUUGUUUGUUAAAAAUUGUAUAAAGUGAAUCACUUCUUGCUACAGCCUUACAUUUUACACUGAGAUUGAAUGUCAGCAUAGAUUCUAAUUAAGACCAGGCAAGAGGUGAUUUUGUAAUGUAUUCUGACAUGAGAGAGACUGAAAGAGGGGAGACUUCAGCAGUAUUUUGAACAUGAGUACUCAGCAGGAGCUGACUGGGUAGUAAAAGAUUUUUGUGCAAAUGGUGACAGGAGAUUUUUAAUGCAUGGCUGAAUGGGGGGGUAGGAGGGAGAGACAUUAGCUUUUAUGCCUGGGAGAUACAAGUGAUAGUGGAAAUGUAAACUGAAAGAGGCAGAAGAAAACAUUCAGGAGUAGAGUCAGCACCUAAAGAGAUGGUGGUUUCUUCAUACUCUUGUCUGUGACCAGCAGUUGUAUCAUCUUGUAUUUGGACUGUAAGCUCUUGGGCAGGAUUGUUUGUACAGCACCUAGCACCCAGUAAUGGAUCAGGACCUCAAUGUGCUAUGAGAAUAUAAAUAAAAUAUGACAGCUGUAGCGCUAGGUAGACUUAGAAAUCAGUGGUAUAGAAGUAGCAAUUGAAGCUAUAGGACAGGAUUUCAGAAAAAAUGGAUGAAUAUUUCCUUUAAAAAAAAAUUGUUCCAUACAGCUCUCCUUUCCUACAUUACCCAUGAGCACUCUUUCUUUGAGAGGGAUCAGUAUUUGAAAGUAACUAUCUUGAGUUAUUUUACACCAAUGAAGCCACGUACUAAUUUCUAGCUGCUUGAGUCUAGUUAAUAUGAAGGUCAGAAACCAUAAGACAAGUUACUUGUUCCUUAUUUUUAAUGGUGUAUGUUUCCAAAAUUGACUAGUUUUUCUAGUGGAGAAAGUGUGCACUUUUUUGCUGGCUGAAACAUUUUACACAAGUGUCAGGUCUUCCCUAGUUUUGCUAGUGGUCUGGCUUCAAACCAAAACCCAAGCUAUACUUGGUUGGGAUAGGUUUAAAAAGUCUUCAUACCCAUUUAACACCAAUGCCUGAAAAGAAAACUCUUUGCAAGAGAUUCAAUCCUCCUUCCCUUCACCAUUGAAGCCUGAGAACUUAGUGCGAUAGUCAUGUCAUAAAAUGAGCAGAAUUAAAAAAGACAAUCCAUACAUUUUUCAGUGCUCUGCUUCAGUUAAAUCCAGUAUGUGUAAUGAACAAUUAUAAAAAUCCAUAUUUAAACUCAAUAUUGGUUCAAAGUGAGUAACUGGAAUUAGAAAAUCAAAGAUUUUGCCCCCAGAAGAGAGAGUUCUGUGUUCAUAUAGCACCUACCAUGAUGGGAUCCUGGCUACUACAGAACCGUGCUUCUCAAGACAUUCCAACAGCAGUGGAUUUAAACAUUCUGCUCUUCAGUAAUGUAGCACACAAUUUUUUCAAACAGAUUAAUGGUAAACAGCACAGUGGACAUAUAGUUUACAUUCUCAGCUUCACCUUCCAAUUUCCCCUACAUUACUUUUAACUUGCACUUCAGUUAAGUCUUCUAGACCCCCACGUGCUACUGAAAUUCAUUUGGCGUCUAUGAUUUGAUUCCUCACCUGUAAAAUGUGGAUAAUAGAUUUCCUACCUCACAUGGUGGUUGCAAGGUGCUCAAAUACUACUGUAACAAGGGCUCAUAUAAAAUUGCUUGGAUGUAGGAUGAGAAUCAGCUGCCUACCAAGAACAGGGAGGGAUUUGAUUUACUAUACUCAAGCUUUUACAGAUUUAUAUGAAAUGAAUAGUUGAAAAUGGGAGAGAAAAAUACCCCUAUACAACAGCCUACAACCCAGGACAGCAUGAAAGUUACAACAGAAAACAACUUUUCAGUUUGAACUCUCCUAACAUUAAGGAUAAAACUAUAUUCUGAUACUACGCACAAAGGCACUUACUUUUCCGAUCACCCUGUGCAAACUGGAUUUCUAUCUGACGGCCACAAAUCCACUUCCGGUCCAAAUUAUGGAGGGCAUCUUCAGCAUCACGGACAUCUUCAAAUGUGCUAAGCGUUAAGGUACUUGGGAAUUUGAGUAGUUAACUUCAAAUUGACAGCUUUUCCUGGAUUUUUAAUCUCACUAUAGGGCACACUAAAAACUGUCUCCCAUUAACUGUAAGGUUGUAGGAGAAUUUUUGGAGAGAGAAUACUAUACAAAUCUUUUGAUAUAGGUACAACCAAGAGUAUUUAUCCUUUAGUGAACAAUCACCACGUAACUCCAUAGCCUACUUUUCUCCUAUACAUACUGAUGUAUCAAAAGUAGUUAAAGAAGUUUAGUUAUUAGUGAUCUGGAUUCUCUAGGUUUGCCUUACCCUCCUGCCCUCAAAAAAGAGGGGGGAUGCUAACUCUUAAAAUGCUUUAGAAACAUUAGUAAAAAGUGAAAAUUCUGCAUUCAUUACAUGACUGUAUUCAUGAAACUUAUUCCCUUUUUCACCUACUCCUUUAAAACUGAUUAUGACUUUCAAAUGUUACUGCUACUCUGAAACCUGUCAUAUAGAGCGCUGUAUUCUAUUAAAUAAAGCAUAUACUGAAACAUUAAGCUAUGGGUUAGAUGUUCAAUCAAUAUCUUUAAUCCAUAAAACUGUUCACUGUAAUUCACUCAUAUUCCUCUGUCUAGCUGACUUGAAAGAAUAAAUCAUCUGUAUUGGUCUGCAUACCAACUUCGUCCAUCGUCUCCUAGUUACCGUAUAGGCAUACUUAUCUUGAUAAAUAAACCAAGAAUGAAUGCAUUUCAUUCAAGACAGUUACAAUUUCAAUACCACCCACAAGUGAAAUAUUACAGGUUCUGUCAACAGACUAAACCAGAAUAGUGUAUCAAGUUACCACUUUACAAGAGAAACAGAAAAAAAACAACGGUUAUUCUGUAGGAUACAUCAGGUAUGACUCCUUUAAUCUUGGCCACCAUUCAACUUCAUCUUGACCUUUAACUCUUUAAGUGCUUGUCAGAAGGACUUGUCAUGAGAUGCUUGGUCAAAAAUGACAGAUGGCUUUAUC
This is an RNA transcript of Dermochelys coriacea (leatherback sea turtle), 6244 nucleotides long. It is a transcript of the gene named proline rich nuclear receptor coactivator 2, with no coding region annotated. The transcript is spliced from 4 exons. The record is from RefSeq and is a predicted model, not a curated record. Lineage: Eukaryota; Metazoa; Chordata; Testudines; Dermochelyidae.